UGAACGCUGGCGGCGUGCCUACUACAUGCAAGUCGAGCGAACGGACGAGAAGCUUGCUUCUCUGAUGUUAGCGGCGGACGGGUGAGUAACACGUGGAUAACCUACCUAUAAGACUGGGAUAACUUCGGGAAACCGGAGCUAAUACCGGAUAAUAUUUUGAACCGCAUGGUUCAAAAGUGAAAGACGGUCUUGCUGUCACUUAUAGAUGGAUCCGCGCUGCAUUAGCUAGUUGGUAAGGUAACGGCUUACCAAGGCAACGAUGCAUAGCCGACCUGAGAGGGUGAUCGGCCACACUGGAACUGAGACACGGUCCAGACUCCUACGGGAGGCAGCAGUAGGGAAUCUUCCGCAAUGGGCGAAAGCCUGACGGAGCAACGCCGCGUGAGUGAUGAAGGUCUUCGGAUCGUAAAACUCUGUUAUUAGGGAAGAACAUAUGUGUAAGUAACUGUGCACACCUUGACGGUACCUAAUCAGAAAGCCACGGCUAACUACGUG
RNAcentral lists this ribosomal RNA (495 nucleotides) under uncultured bacterium. RNAcentral describes it as "partial 16S ribosomal RNA". It matches the Rfam family "Bacterial small subunit ribosomal RNA", at positions 30 to 507 of the family's 1533-position model. The record is from RNAcentral.